This 253-nucleotide ribosomal RNA is filed under the name uncultured bacterium. Its description in RNAcentral is "partial 16S ribosomal RNA". It matches the Rfam family "Bacterial small subunit ribosomal RNA", at positions 524 to 776 of the family's 1533-position model. The record is from RNAcentral.
GACGUAGGGGGCCAGCGUUGUUCGGAAUUACUGGGCGUAAAGGGCUCGUAGGCGGCCAACUAAGUCAUACGUGAAAUCCCUCGGCUUAACCGGGGAACUGCGUCUGAUACUGGAUGGCUUGAGUUCGGGAGAGGGAUGCGGAAUUCCAGGUGUAGCGGUGAAAUGCGUAGAUAUCUGGAGGAACACCGGUGGCGAAGGCGGCAUCCUGGACCGAUACUGACGCUGAGGAGCGAAAGCCAGGGGAGCAAACGGG